Molecule: ribosomal RNA, 252 nt
Filed under: uncultured bacterium
Lineage: Bacteria
Description: partial 16S ribosomal RNA
Rfam family: Bacterial small subunit ribosomal RNA
Source: RNAcentral
CGGAGGGGUUAGCGUUGUUCGGAAUGACUGGGCGUAAAGCGCGCGUAGGCGGAUCGCAAAGUUGGGGUGAAAGCCCAGGGCUCAACCCUGGAAUUGCCUUCAGACUCGCGGUCUGGAGUUCGAGAGAGGUGGGUGGAAUUCCGAGUGUAGAGGUGAAAUUCGUUAGAUAUUCGGAGGAACACCAGUGGCGGAGGCGGCCCACUGGCUCGACACUGACGCUGAGGCGCGAAAGCGCGGGGAGCAAACAGGAUU